This is an RNA transcript of Dicentrarchus labrax (European seabass), 1338 nucleotides long. It is a transcript of the gene named mamu class II histocompatibility antigen, DR alpha chain, with no coding region annotated. The record is from RefSeq and is a predicted model, not a curated record. The transcript is spliced from 6 exons. Lineage: Eukaryota; Metazoa; Chordata; Actinopteri; Moronidae.
AGACCAGUUCACAGUCUCAGACGGGUUCAGGUCUACAGAGAGUCAGACGGGUUCAGGACUACAGAGAGUCAGACGGGUUCAGGUCUACAGAGAGUCAGACGGGUUCAGAGAGUCAGACGGGUUCAGGUCUACAGAGAGUCAGACGGGUUCAGGUCUACGGAGAGUCAGACGGGUUCAGAGAGUCAGACGGGUUCAGGUCUACAGAGAGUCAGACGGGUUCAGAGAGUCAGACGAGUUCAGAGAGUCAGACGGGUUCAGGUCUACGGAGAGUCAGACGGGUUCAGGACUACAGAGAGUCAGACGGGUUCAGGACUACAGAGAGUCAGACGGGUCUACAGAGAGUCAGACGGGUUCAGGUCUACAGAGAGCUGAAGAUGAAGAUGAUGAUGAUGAUGGUUCUGGUUCUCUGGUUCUCCUGUGUGUCUGCUGACGUUCUUCAUGAGGACAUUGCUAUCGAUGGCUGUUCAGACUCUGAUGGAGAGGUGAUGUACGGUCUGGAUGGUGAAGAGAAAUGGGUCGCAGACUUCAUCAACAAGAAAGGAGUGGAGCCUCAACCCAACUUCAUAGAUCAUAUGAGCUACGUGGAAGGAACUUAUGAAAAUGCUGUGGCUAAUCAACAGAUCUGCAGACAGAACCUGAAGGUGGCUCUCCAGGCCUAUAAGAACCCUCCUCUGCAGCUCGAUCCUCCUUCCAGUCCGAUGAUCUACACCAGAGACAACGUGGAGCUCGGAGAGAAGAACACCCUCAUCUGUCAUGUGACUGGUUUCUAUCCUGCUCCUGUAAAGGUCUACUGGACCAAGAACGGAAAGAACGUGACUGAAGGAACCAGCAUCAAUGUUCCCUACCUGAACACAGACACCACCUUCACCCAGACGUCCAGACUGGAGUUCAUCCCACAGCUGGGAGACAUGUACAGCUGUUCAGUGAAACAUCUGUCUCUGAAAGACCCACUGACCCGAUUCUGGGGUGAGACAACUUUAUUUAAAUUCACUCAAAAUACAAACAGACACUUUACUAACUGACCAUGGUACACAUCUGUCUCCAGAUGUGGAGGUGUAACAUCAGUAGGUUAAUGUUUCUGUCUCCAGAUGUGGAGGUGUAGCUGCAGUGUGUUAAUGUUUCUGUCUCCAGAUGUGGAGGUGUAGCUGCAGUGUGUUAAUGUUUCUGUCUCCAGAUGUGGAGGUGUAGCUGCAGUGUGUUAAUGUUUCUGUCUCCAGAUGUGGAGGUGUAGCUGCAGUGUGUUAAUGUUUCUGUCUCCAGAUGUGGAGGUGUAGCUGCAGUGUGUUAAUGUUUCUGUCUCCAGAUGUGGAGAAGCCUGAACCCAGUAUUGGACCUGCA